Molecule: long non-coding RNA, 1125 nt
Organism: Micropterus salmoides (largemouth bass)
Lineage: Eukaryota; Metazoa; Chordata; Actinopteri; Centrarchiformes; Centrarchidae
Exons: 3
Source: RefSeq, a predicted model, not a curated record
AGGAAGGUGCAUCCCUCCUGAGUAGUGACGUCACUGACCGGAGGGGGACACACAGACGGGAUGAUCCAGGAAGUGAGGUGAGAACGGAAGACAAAACAGCGUUGGGUCCCAGCAACGCCUCGGCAGUGGCUGUCCCUGGCAACAUCGAGGCGGUCUGUGCCAGUUUUGGGCCACUUCUGUCCCGGGGUUUCUUUGAGCCCAGAAGAAUGUCAGGGGGGAGAUUUGGAAACCUUCCCCCAGCUCAGGAUGAAUGGCUGUCCACUGAGCACACUCCCCCGCUCUCUCUACCAUCCCAUCCAACCUCCCUCCUCUACACACAGAGAAGAAGCUGAAAACUGAAUGUUCUCUUCUUCCCCUUAUCUGGAGACAAAUCACCAACAAGAAGUCAGACGGAGCAAGAACACGUCAAACAAAGGGGCCGUUAUGACCUGCAAGCCAGGGAGCCAAGCUAGCACUACCAUUUGCGGCCUAAUCUGCCAGAAUAUUUACUGUUAGGCAAUCACCAAUGGCAGAGCUGGUAUUACAGUGUCAUCCUACAGAUCACUGAGGUUUCUCAGUAUUGUUUGGGUAUAUUUCGGUAUGCCAAGGUAUGCUAUCGUGUUUAGAUUAAUUACACUAUUGGUUUUCAAUAAUUAGAUUACAACAACAAAAUCAAUAUGCAAGAACUUGCUUGAGUUAGGUAAUCCAUUACAUUGGUUUUACGUAGUAGCACAGUAGUACCCACAGCCUGUUUAAUGAAGUUUAUUACCACAGCAAACUGAAAAUGUUUACUAAUCUGCCAGAAUAUUUACUGUUAGGCAAUCACCAAUGGCAGAGCUGGUAUUACAGUGUCAUCCUACAGAUCACUGAGGUUUCUCAGUAUUGUUUGGAUAUAUUUCGGUAUGAAAUGAUUAUUAGCGGUGCAGUGGUUGCACUGGGCUACUGCAGGCCUGUAGGUGUGAAUGUGAGUCUGUAUGGUUCAGCCCUAUGACUGACUGGUGGCCUGUCCAGGCAUAAGUAAGUAAAGCUGAGUGUGGUGGACUGUAUAUUUACUCAAGUACUGUGUACUGUAUUUGUACUUGAGUAUUUUCUUUUCAUGUCACUUUCUACUUCUACUCCACCACAUCUCAGAGGGAGAUAUUGUCC